CAUCUUCAUUUGAGAAACAGAAACAGCGCCGUUUCUACUCUAGCCUCUCUUUCACUAUUCAUCCAUGGGUAAGACACCACCACCUUCAUCCUUUAUCGUUUCCACCACCACCACCCCACAUCUUCUUUGUUGUUUUCUUCACCACCACCUUCAUCCCCUUACACUCACACUCUUUUUUCACUCUCACACUUACCACUAAGCUUUGAAACCCUAAAUCUAACUGAAAUGCAAUAUUUUCUAGCUGAAGAACCUUCGUUCCUCUCUGACCAUGGUUUUUUGUCCACUCCUAAAAAAAGAAGUUUAAUGCUUUAUGUAUGUGUUCAACCUUUGGGAUACUGCUAGAAAUGUUUGUGAUUUUAUUUAUAUUUUGGUGGAUUCUCUAACUUUUAGUGGUUCUUAAUCGAUUUUUCCUGUUUGUGAAACAGGACUGGAGGAUUAUAACAGAGCAAGAUCUUUGAGUUAAUGUGAUGUCUUAUUCAAAGGUUCAAUUCUUAUUUUUUACUUUUUCCUUUUUGGAGAUUGUUAAUGGAUUUGUUGUGUUUCUUUGUGAAACAGGGGCUAGAGGAUUAUAAUAGAAGGUGACAUUUGUGUUUCAGGAUUUUUGGAUAUUCUUGAUGUAUGCUGAGGUUGACUUAACUUGAAUUAAGGUGACCAUGGUGGUUGAAUAAAGAUGCAAUUGAGAAAUUGUGAGUUUGUUGGAGAUUUGAAGCUUGACUCUUUGGUCAUGUGUACAUUUGAGUUCGUUAUGGCUGAACUUCAGGAAAUAUUUUGGAGAAAACUUAAUUGAAGAAAUAUUGGAGAAAACUUGAUUUGAGGAAACUUUCUCCUAACAGAGAUAUUAUUUGAUACACUUGGGCUUAUGAAUUGCUGGAUUUUGUUUGGAUUUUCAAAUGAACUAUGCGCAGAAACUGAAUCAGGUGCUGGAGGGGUUGUUUUAUGACCAAUAACACAUAUGUUGCAAACAUAACAAAGAUGAAGAAACAAAGAUCAAUGAAGAAGAGAUAAUAAUUGAGACAAGUUCUAUUGGAUGCAGCAUAAUAUAUUUGGACUUAAUUGAUUGUAUUUAUCAAAUUAUUGGUUGUUGGAUCAAAUUAUAAAAUAACUCAAUGUUAAAUGAUUAACUGGAUCCAAAUAA
Molecule: long non-coding RNA, 1135 nt
Organism: Vicia villosa (hairy vetch)
Lineage: Eukaryota; Viridiplantae; Streptophyta; Magnoliopsida; Fabales; Fabaceae
Exons: 4
Source: RefSeq, a predicted model, not a curated record